This 1554-nucleotide ribosomal RNA is filed under the name Escherichia coli. RNAcentral describes it as "bacterial SSU rRNA". It matches the Rfam family "Bacterial small subunit ribosomal RNA". Lineage: Bacteria; Pseudomonadati; Pseudomonadota; Gammaproteobacteria; Enterobacterales; Enterobacteriaceae. The record is from RNAcentral. RNAcentral also lists the same sequence under 1 other name.
UUAAAUUGAAGAGUUUGAUCAUGGCUCAGAUUGAACGCUGGCGGCAGGCCUAACACAUGCAAGUCGAACGGUAACAGGAAGCAGCUUGCUGCUUUGCUGACGAGUGGCGGACGGGUGAGUAAUGUCUGGGAAACUGCCUGAUGGAGGGGGAUAACUACUGGAAACGGUAGCUAAUACCGCAUAACGUCGCAAGACCAAAGAGGGGGACCUUCGGGCCUCUUGCCAUCGGAUGUGCCCAGAUGGGAUUAGCUUGUUGGUGGGGUAACGGCUCACCAAGGCGACGAUCCCUAGCUGGUCUGAGAGGAUGACCAGCCACACUGGAACUGAGACACGGUCCAGACUCCUACGGGAGGCAGCAGUGGGGAAUAUUGCACAAUGGGCGCAAGCCUGAUGCAGCCAUGCCGCGUGUAUGAAGAAGGCCUUCGGGUUGUAAAGUACUUUCAGCGGGGAGGAAGGGAGUAAAGUUAAUACCUUUGCUCAUUGACGUUACCCGCAGAAGAAGCACCGGCUAACUCCGUGCCAGCAGCCGCGGUAAUACGGAGGGUGCAAGCGUUAAUCGGAAUUACUGGGCGUAAAGCGCACGCAGGCGGUUUGUUAAGUCAGAUGUGAAAUCCCCGGGCUCAACCUGGGAACUGCAUCUGAUACUGGCAAGCUUGAGUCUCGUAGAGGGGGGUAGAAUUCCAGGUGUAGCGGUGAAAUGCGUAGAGAUCUGGAGGAAUACCGGUGGCGAAGGCGGCCCCCUGGACGAAGACUGACGCUCAGGUGCGAAAGCGUGGGGAGCAAACAGGAUUAGAUACCCUGGUAGUCCACGCCGUAAACGAUGUCGACUUGGAGGUUGUGCCCUUGAGGCGUGGCUUCCGGAGCUAACGCGUUAAGUCGACCGCCUGGGGAGUACGGCCGCAAGGUUAAAACUCAAAUGAAUUGACGGGGGCCCGCACAAGCGGUGGAGCAUGUGGUUUAAUUCGAUGCAACGCGAAGAACCUUACCUGGUCUUGACAUCCACGGAAGUUUUCAGAGAUGAGAAUGUGCCUUCGGGAACCGUGAGACAGGUGCUGCAUGGCUGUCGUCAGCUCGUGUUGUGAAAUGUUGGGUUAAGUCCCGCAACGAGCGCAACCCUUAUCCUUUGUUGCCAGCGGUCCGGCCGGGAACUCAAAGGAGACUGCCAGUGAUAAACUGGAGGAAGGUGGGGAUGACGUCAAGUCAUCAUGGCCCUUACGACCAGGGCUACACACGUGCUACAAUGGCGCAUACAAAGAGAAGCGACCUCGCGAGAGCAAGCGGACCUCAUAAAGUGCGUCGUAGUCCGGAUUGGAGUCUGCAACUCGACUCCAUGAAGUCGGAAUCGCUAGUAAUCGUGGAUCAGAAUGCCACGGUGAAUACGUUCCCGGGCCUUGUACACACCGCCCGUCACACCAUGGGAGUGGGUUGCAAAAGAAGUAGGUAGCUUAACCUUCGGGAGGGCGCUUACCACUUUGUGAUUCAUGACUGGGGUGAAGUCGUAACAAGGUAACCGUAGGGGAACCUGCGGUUGGAUCACCUCCUUACCUUAAAGAA